ACGAAAUACGGGGCAACUCGUAUUUAGUGGCGGAAGGGUUAGUAAUACAUGGGUAACCUGCCUUUAACUUUGGGAUAACGGUUGGAAACGAUCGCUAAUACCAAAUGUGGUGCAAGAAGUAUCUUCUUGUUAUUAAAGUGGGGGAUCGUAAGACCUCGCGGUUAAAGAGGGGCCCAUGGGAUAUCAGCUAGUUGGUGAGGUAACGGCUCACCGAGG
RNAcentral lists this ribosomal RNA (216 nucleotides) under uncultured Chlamydiales CRG47. RNAcentral's name for it is "partial 16S ribosomal RNA". It matches the Rfam family "Bacterial small subunit ribosomal RNA", at positions 66 to 273 of the family's 1533-position model. The record is from RNAcentral. Lineage: Bacteria; Pseudomonadati; Chlamydiota; Chlamydiia; Chlamydiales.